AUUGAACGCUGGCGGCAUGCCUUACACACGCAAGUCGAACGGCGGCGGGGGUAGCUUGCUACCUGCCGGCGAGUGGCGAACGGGUGAGUAAUACAUCGGAACGUGCCCUGUAGUGGGGGAUAACUAGUCGAAAGACUAGCUAAUACCGCAUACGACCUGAGGGUGAAAGUGGGGGACCGCAAGGCCUCAUGCUAUAGGAGCGGCCGAUGUCUGAUUAGCUAGUUGGUGGGGUAAAGGCCCACCAAGGCGACGAUCAGUAGCUGGUCUGAGAGGACGAUCAGCCACACUGGGGACGAGACACGGCCCAGACUCCUACGGGAGGCAGCAGUGGGGAAUUUUGGACAAUGGGGGCAACCCUGAUCCAGCAAUGCCGCGUGUGUGAAGAAGGCCUUCGGGUUGUAAAGCACUUUUGUCCGGAAAGAAAUCGCACUGGUUAAUACCUGGUGUGGAUGACGGUACCGGAAGAAUAAGGACCGGCUAACUACGUGCCAGCCGCCGCCGUAA
This 504-nucleotide ribosomal RNA is filed under the name uncultured bacterium. RNAcentral describes it as "partial 16S ribosomal RNA". It matches the Rfam family "Bacterial small subunit ribosomal RNA", at positions 29 to 523 of the family's 1533-position model. The record is from RNAcentral.